Molecule: ribosomal RNA, 440 nt
Filed under: uncultured bacterium
Lineage: Bacteria
Description: partial 16S ribosomal RNA
Rfam family: Bacterial small subunit ribosomal RNA
Source: RNAcentral
CCUACGGGUGGCAGCAGUGGGGAAUAUUGCACAAUGGGGGAAACCCUGAUGCAGCGACGCCGCGUGAAGGAAGAAGUAUUUCGGUAUGUAAACUUCUAUCAGCAGGGAAGAAAAUGACGGUACCUGACUAAGAAGCCCCGGCCAACUACGUACCAGCAGCCGCGGUAAUACGUAGGGGGCACGCUUUAUCCGGAUUUACUGGGGUUAAGGGGAGCGUAGGCGGUGCAGCAAGUCAGAAGGGAAAGCCCGGGGCUCAACUCCGGGACUGCUUUUGAAACUGUUGAACUAGAGUGCAGGAGAGGUAAGUGGAAUUCCUAGUGUAGCGGUGAAAUGCGUAGAUAUUAGGAGGAACACCAGUGGCGAAGGCGGCUUACUGGACUGUAAAUGACGCUGAGGCUCGAAAGCGUGGGGAGCAAACAGGAUUAGAUACCCGGGUAGUC